RNAcentral lists this ribosomal RNA (999 nucleotides) under Craspedacusta sowerbii. RNAcentral's name for it is "12S ribosomal RNA". It matches the Rfam family "Bacterial small subunit ribosomal RNA". The record is from RNAcentral. Lineage: Eukaryota; Metazoa; Cnidaria; Hydrozoa; Limnomedusae; Olindiidae.
CCGAAUAACGGGUUUCUUUUGAUUUUGGAGAAAUAAAGGCGCUACGGUCGAUUACACAUGCUAACGAAAGUGAACAGGUGAGAAUAAACGAUAAACAUAUCGGUUUGUAUUAAGAAGAGGGAGGUAAGUGACUCUCGACUUAAGAUGCAAAGUCUAAAACCACAUUUUUACUGAAACAAGGAAAAAACGUCAAGGCAGCAGUGAUAAAUCUUAUACACUUCGUUUACGCGAGAUAUAGAGACCGUAAUCAGUCUUGUCUAAUUAAGUGCCAGCAGACGCGGUUAUACUUAAGAGUCAAGUCUUUAUCGAUCACUAGGUUCAAAACACGUCUAGGAGUUGAAAAAAAAAGAGAUAACGAAUUACUUCAAUAAUAUGGUAAAAUUCAUAUUGGACAGAGUACCGAUAACUAAAGUAUCGUUAUAAAUAAUCUAAAACGUUGAAGAAAGGGGCGUAAACAGGAUUAGAUACCCUGGUAAUCCUUUCCCUGAACGAGAUCUCGUCAUUACCUGAAUAGUACUUUCGCAAGAAAGAAAGUCAAAAAAUCUGGCUGUUUACUUUCCACUUAGAGGAGUUUGUAAUUUAAUACGAUUGUCCACGUAAAAUCUCACUUUUUCUUGAAAUCUCAGGUGCUGCAUGGUCGUCUCAAGCUUAUGUUUAAAACGAUAAGCCAAUUCCUUCAAAGGAAGAAGUCAGAUCGCAUGGCCCUCAUGAAAGAGGAAAUUAUGCACUACAAUGGUCAACGAAAAUAAAAAUUGACGCCUGGAUAGUCUUUGAAAGAGGACUUGAAAGCGAAUUUAACAGUAAUCGAGAAGAAUGGUGUCUUGGUGAAUCGGUUCAAGUAUUAGUACAAAUUGCCCGUCACCUUUGUUUAACUUAUUCAUGAGAGAGCGGAGACGUGACUCAGAAGAACAAAACAAAGCAAGUCGUAACAUAGUGAGAGAAAGGGAACUUUCUCUUGCAGAGAACUCUUAAAGAAAGUCACACACCGAUUCUCUGCUA